RNAcentral lists this unclassified non-coding RNA (788 nucleotides) under Hevea brasiliensis (rubber tree). Lineage: Eukaryota; Viridiplantae; Streptophyta; Magnoliopsida; Malpighiales; Euphorbiaceae. The record is from RNAcentral.
AGAUGAUCAUGAGUCUUGAAGUAGAGCACAGAAGGAUCUACACUAAUGGAAUAUGGAUGCACAUAGCCGAAAAAGGCCAAGGACCUCUUAUUCUCCUUAUUCAUGGCUUUCCUGAGCUAUGGUCUUGCUGGGUUCAUCAGAUUAAUCACUUGUCGGCACAUGGUUAUCAUGUGGUUGCACCUGAUAUGCGAGGCUAUGGAGACUCCGACUGUCCUCCGCAUCCUUCCUCCUAUACUCUUUUCCAUACAGUUGGAGACUUGAUUGGCCUUCUUGAUGAGCUUGGAAAAGAACAGGCAUUUGUGAUAGGACAUGACUGGGGUGCAGAAAUUGCAUGGCACCUUUGCCUUUUCAGGCCAGAUAGAGUAAAGGCUCUCGUUAACUUAGGCGUCCCUUAUCGGCCACGUUCCCCACAGUUCAAACCUUCUCACUACUUCACUAAAUAUGGACGAGGCUUCUACAUCUCCCAGUUCCAGGUAACAAUGCAAUUCCAAUUAUAUAAUCAGAAGGCCAUGAGUUGAAUGGAAACAGUCUCUCUGCAAAAGAGCCUGGAAAGGCUGGGAGCCUUGGGAUUGCCCUUUACAAUUCUCUGUACUUUGUUAGUAUUUCAUUGAUUUUUGCACUGCAGGAGCCUGGAGGAGCAGAAAAUUCUUUCUCCAAGUAUGACUCGGUGACAAUUCUGAAGAAGUUUCUGUUGAUCAAUGCUCCUGAUCUUCUAGCAGCACCUCCAGGGGUUGAGAUUAUAGAUUUUCUCGAGACCCCAUCUUUGUUGCCUCCAUGGAUUACUGAAG